Molecule: long non-coding RNA, 419 nt
Organism: Exaiptasia diaphana
Lineage: Eukaryota; Metazoa; Cnidaria; Anthozoa; Actiniaria; Aiptasiidae
Exons: 3
Source: RefSeq, a predicted model, not a curated record
AUCAAUGUUUUUUUUUCCUCUCAUUUUAAAGAUACAAAUGCAGAUUGUCACACAGAAAAAGCUGAGAUGAUGGCGAGCCCGUGCGGGCACCGCUUUUGCGAGCGGUGCUCGCCAACAGUUUUYGAAAUGGACACCUGUCCACUUUGCCAUGCCCAGAUUGAUGCUGUGGUUGUUGGCUUCGUGGACAGGUGUCCAUUUAAUGAAGCCGUCCUGGCCGCGUGCCGGGACGUGCUUUCAUCAGAAAAAAACAAGAAGUAAAUCCGGCAAGACAUCACAAAAGAGGUCAAGACAUCACUCAAAAAUUAAGAGUAAUCAUGUAAACAUGUAAAAAUAAAACGUUUUAAAAUCAAAUCAUGUCUUCUUCACUGACCUCCGAUUUUUUCCGAGAUAAACUUUUUCUAUUCUAUUUUGUGUGCUUU